RNAcentral lists this microRNA (21 nucleotides) under Hippoglossus hippoglossus (Atlantic halibut). RNAcentral describes it as "hhi-miR-129b-3p". Its record names the gene hhi-miR-129b-3p. The record is from miRBase by way of RNAcentral. Lineage: Eukaryota; Metazoa; Chordata; Actinopteri; Pleuronectiformes; Pleuronectidae.
AGGAAGCCUUAACCCCAAAAA